AAAUGAGGACCUGCAGGGCAGAAAGGUCGCCUCCGUCCCCAGCACCUGCAGGUUCCCUUCUACACUUCAUGGUCCUCAGCAACAUCUUCUAAAUCACAUUCCUUCUGAUUUUGAACCCCUGAUGAAAGCUUUUAGUGACACCCACUACCCCCACCGCUGCCUCCAGGAUGAGUCCAGCCCCUUACACUGUCCUGGCUGCCUUGGGCUGGGCUGGCUCCUGGCCAGCUCCACACCCUCACCUUGGGAGGCCUUGCUGUCUCCCGGCCUCACUCUUGCCCCUGCUGCCCCUCCCUCGGCCGUUCAGGCUCCUUGCCAUGCAUGUGUUCAUUUACUCACAAGUGUUCACAGAACAUCUGGUCACGGCACUGGCUCACUGCUGGGGAUGCUGGGCCGCCAGUCCCUGCUCUUGUGGUGCUCGGAGCCUGGGGAGGGAGACGGAGACAAGCCCUGGUAAGUCCUGAGAUAAAGCGUCCAGUGGGGGUUGACAGGAUGCCACUCUGGAAGCCCCAUCUGGCACGUUUAUUUCUGGGCUCCCUCCAUGACACCCUUCCUUGCUUUUUUCUGUCACAUGGGGUCAGCCCCACUUUGUUUGCUUCCCUCUUCCGCUCUGCUCUGCUGAGCACGGGACUCAUAUCUGGUUGUAAUCUUUACAGCCUCCAGGGCAGGUACAGAGCGCCCUGCUGCCUUGCUUG
RNAcentral lists this small RNA (692 nucleotides) under Pongo abelii (Sumatran orangutan). RNAcentral's name for it is "processed transcript". The record is from RNAcentral. Lineage: Eukaryota; Metazoa; Chordata; Mammalia; Primates; Hominidae.